UGUUAGUUUGUAAAGUGACGAAAGAUGCUGGCUUUAAAAUAGCAUGCACUGUUCACUUGUUUGCAGAUUUUUAACAUAAAUCUGGCUACCAGUAGGUUUCAAGCAUCGCUUUAAAAUAGCAUUGCACAGGUCACUUUUGACAGAUUUUUAACAUAAAUCUGGCUACCACUAGGUAGUAUGUGGUUGUAUGCUUGUAUCAUUUCAGGCAGCUUCUUCAAUCGAAGGAUGGAUGACCAGCAUUGCCAGGCAAGAAUCAAGAAAGAGAAGGUAGGAGUCUCGAUCCCAGACAAUGCCUGAGGUCAGGAAAUGGCUCAAGCAGUCGAGUUUCGAGGAUAGGUAAGAUUAUGAUGUAGAUGUUAGUUUGUAAAGUGACAAAAGAUGCGUAGCUUUAAAAUAGCACUCACAGAUCACGUUUUGCCGAUUUUUAUUAACAUAAAUCUGGCUAACCAGUAGGUUAUUUUGCAAUUGUGUGUGACUGUACGCUUGUAUCAUAUCAGGCAGCUUCUUCAAUCGAAGGAAGGAUGACCUGCAGCAUUGCCAGGCAAGAACGAAAAAAGAGAAGGGUCACAUCUGAAUUACUGAGAUCCCCAUUCCAUAGGACUUCAAAGGAGAACCCAUCAAAGAUCGUCUCGAAAGACUUGCCUUGAUGAGGAUACGCUGCAAAACCACUGACGAAGAAAAAUCACUUCAUCACCAUCAUUGUGGAAGUUUUAUAGCCCUUUUGGGUCUUCAAUUUAUAAGCUACAACACAAGGAAUACUGUUUGGAACGAACCUGAUAAAACAACUAUCCAUGCACGUUGAUACAGAGCAGGACAAUCCCCUCGAUGCUCUUGUUUGAGGCAAGUGCCAAUUCGAGCGCUGACAUCACAGGGAAUCCCCUAUUGACUCGAGUGGUAGCAUAUGAAUUGUCCACAAAAUUUUCUUUUAUUUCAUGAAAAGUGUGAAAUUUGACAGAGUUUUUGAACAAUGGCGAGCGGAGAAAUCUUGGAUAUGAUGUCAUAACAUGCUAAUUAAUAAAAAUUUUCAAAACAUUCUAAGUUAUCCUGAAAUUACAUGUUAUAAGGUAUUACAAUCCACUAAUAAUUCAAUUUCAUGAAUUUGGUCCCUACCGGCCUUUUUGCGUGGCUGGUCACAUAUUUGUUUCAAAUUGCAACUUCCACGAUUUGUUCCAAAAUGUGAUUUACCUACAUGCUUGAAGAUCACCUGUAUGUAACUGCACAUAAUCUUGCACUGUGGCCCAGUGUGUUUUGCACCCUUGAAACUAAUGUAAUUUAGACCUUUCAAGCCUGAAUGCUCUUGGGAGCGCCUUCCUGUUCUCAGAUAGUCUGUGAAUCAAAUAAGCCACUAAAGUAUGUUGAUAACUUUAUCAUUUAAUACUGUGUCAUCUUCCUUUGUCCCACAUCUUUUAUCAUUUUUAAUUUUUUUAAAUUUUUGCAGAGAAUUUUUUUUGCAUUACAAUUUUUUCCUUUAGUGGUAAAUGUUGGUCAUUAUAGCUAGAUUAGAGGUGGGUUAGGCCUACAGGGUUUUGAUAGCAGUAGUACAACAUUAGUUUAUUUCAUGACUGGCAGUUAGUGCCGUCAUCCGUAGCCACUUGUAGUGUAGCUGUUAGCGAUAUGAUUGAGACUAGUGAGUGUAGUAGGUGUAGGCGCAACGUAGCUAAGGUUAGGCACUCACUGGUCUUUAUCUCAACUCCAGGAAGAUGACACAC
This is a long non-coding RNA of Lineus longissimus, 1709 nucleotides long. RefSeq lists it as uncharacterized. Lineage: Eukaryota; Metazoa; Nemertea; Pilidiophora; Heteronemertea; Lineidae. The record is from RefSeq and is a predicted model, not a curated record. The transcript has 3 exons.